AGCUGCGUCGUGCGUUUUGGUGCGGUGAUUCCUCCAGGAGCGCGCGUCUUCACGGUGCGUAAAAUCGGCAUUCAGCGCAUAAAAGUGGAAAUGACGCGCUCUGGAUUCUCACAAGGACGUCUCCUUCUCCUUCCAGAGCGGAAUCCGUGCCAGUAACAGGACACGAGUCUAUUUUUAACAACAACCAAGUCGCCAAAGCGGCUGAUAGUCAGAAGAUGGAUCCUCUGUUUAACGGCACCGACCUGAACCCGGAGAACGGCACGGACGUGUCCGCGAACAGCAGCGACGGCUUCAACCAGUUCAUCCAGCCCGUGUGGCAGAUCACACUGUGGGCUGUGGCGUACUGCAGCAUCGUGGCCGUGUCGGUGGUCGGGAACGUGGUGGUCAUUUGGAUUAUUCUGGCGCAUAAACGCAUGAGGACCGUCACCAACUACUUUCUGGUGAACUUGGCCUUUGCUGAGGCUGGCAUGGCAGCCUUCAACACCGUCAUCAACUUCGCCUACGCCGUCCACAACGAGUGGUACUUCGGUUUGGUUUACUGCCGCUUCCACAACUUCUUCCCCAUCGCUGCCAUCUUUGCCAGCAUUUACUCCAUGACCGCCAUCGCUCUGGACAGGUACAUGGCGAUCAUCCAUCCGCUGCAGCAGAGGCUGACGUCCACAGAGACCCGCGUGGUGAUCGCUGUGAUCUGGAUGUUAGCUCUGAUUCUGGCCUUCCCUCAGUACUACUUCUCGUCCACCACACUGCUGCCCGGACGCACGGUCUGCUACAUCGACUGGCCUGAGUAUGACACCGUGGACAUCAAGAAGAUAUACUAUGUAUGUGUGACAGUGCUGAUCUACUUCCUGCCACUUUGCAUUAUGGGAUGUGCGUACACAACCGUGGGUGUCACCCUCUGGGCGAGUGAGAUUCCCGGAGACUCGUCGGAGCAUUACAAAGAGCAGCUCAUCGCCAAACGGAAGGUGGUGAAGAUGAUGAUCGUGGUGGUGUGUACUUUCGCUGUCUGCUGGCUGCCCUACCACGUCUACUUCCUGCUGCACCAGUUCUUCCCUGAUUGGUUUGAGCAGCGCUACAUCCAGCAGGUGUACCUGGCCAUCAUGUGGCUGGCUAUGAGCUCCACCAUGUACAACCCCAUCAUCUACUACUGCCUCAACAGCAGGUUCAGAGCUGGUUUCCAGCAGGUGUUUUGUUGCUGCUCUCCUACAGCUGCCAAAGAGGAGCUGGAGCUCAAAUCACCGCGUUACCUGCAGACCCAGGUGAGUAUUUGUCGAGCCAGUCGGAUGGAGACGGUGGUUUCCACAUCAGUUCCUGCUGCAGUAACGGAGCAGAGCAGGACGGAGCUGCCGUCCUACACGUCUCACAACGAGCCUCACGUAGCGUCUAACGGCUCCGGCUCAGAGACGUUCACUAAAAGCCCCAACAACUCCAGCCCUCAGUAGAACAAACACAGCAAGGAUGUGUGGAGACAACAAGAUGAUAUCUGACAGGCAGAGGGAGAAAGCUCGCCCUCACUCCACUGCAGAUGGUCAUAUUCAGACGCUCUCAGAAAGACUGUUGAAGGAAGGACAUUUUCAAGCGGGGACACAUUUUUGUGAGCAUCUGGCUGAGUGCAUUCACAUCCCAUUGAUGCCUGGAUCAUCAAUGCUCACCAACCAUCGGCGUUUCAGCUGCCGGUCCUUCCUGGAGAAGUGAAAUGAUUAAACAUCCGUUAAACUUCUCACCAUGAGGACGAGGUCAGAGGGAAGAACGUGCUGUGUUUCACUGUUAAACUGAGCUUAUGAGCAAAGAGUACUGGCUUUUUUAUUUCAUCUUCUUACUUCCUGUCCACACAGGAAGUGAUGUGUUUGAUGGUACUUGCUGCUUGUAAUCGCCUCUAUCUAAAUAUAUUUCAUAUUUGUGACGUUUAAAAGAUGAACGAUCAGCUCUUGGAUCACAGAUUCAUUUUACUAUAAUAAUAACACCAACUGCUCUAAACCAGAUAUUUAUGACGUUAUAAUAAUGAAAGCUCUUUUACUGUGUGAGAUAUUUUCAGCCAAACAGAUUUUCAGUGGAGGUUUGAAAUAUUUACACAGUGCAGAUUUUAUUAUUUUAAAACGAUAUAAAAUAAAUAUAUCAGAGAUUAAUUUACCAUAGUUUGAGGAAGGGUUUCAUUCAUUGUUGAUUCAUUUAAAAUAAAAUGUAUAAAUAUUUAACUUAAAUGAA
This is an RNA transcript of Cheilinus undulatus (humphead wrasse), 2202 nucleotides long. It is a transcript of the gene named substance-P receptor-like, with no coding region annotated. The record is from RefSeq and is a predicted model, not a curated record. The transcript is spliced from 8 exons. NCBI's taxonomy places the organism in Eukaryota, Metazoa, Chordata, Actinopteri, Labriformes, Labridae.